RNAcentral lists this long non-coding RNA (352 nucleotides) under Danio rerio (zebrafish). RNAcentral's name for it is "lncRNA si:dkeyp-72g8.1 (ENSDARG00000096325.2)". The record is from RNAcentral. Lineage: Eukaryota; Metazoa; Chordata; Actinopteri; Cypriniformes; Danionidae.
CACAUUCAACGAUUUUUGUAAAUUACAGAGUAUUUAACUGUAAUAUGAAUUGUGUUUUACUGUAGGACAACAUUGGGAGAAAAAAUAAAGAGGGGGCUAAUAAUUCUGAUUUCAACUGUAUAGCGCUGUAAAGUGAUUGUUAUGUAAUGUUACAACUGUAACUUAAAUGUCCCGUGCAGUGUUGCCAACUAUUUUCAAUGAAAAGUUGCUAAGCUCUGCUCGAAAAGUCGCUAAAUGAUGCUAAAUUAUUUAUCUCUCAGACAUAAUAAACUCAGACAAGUUCUGAAACUGACACUAAAAUCUCUGUGAUUCUGAACAAGAAAACAAUAAAUGGCCAGAUUAAAUUGUUAAA